UACGUAGGGGGCAAGCGUUAUCCGGAUUUACUGGGUGUAAAGGGAGCGUAGACGGUUAUGCAAGUCUGAAGUGAAAGCCCAAGGCUCAACCAUGGGACUGCUUUGGAAACUGUAAAACUGGAGUGCAGGAGAGGUAAGCGGAAUUCCUAGUGUAGCGGUGAAAUGCGUAGAUAUUAGGAGGAACGCCAGUGGCGAAGGCGGCUUACUGGACUGUAACUGACGUUGAGGCUCGAAGGCGUGGGGAGCAAACAGG
RNAcentral lists this ribosomal RNA (253 nucleotides) under uncultured bacterium. RNAcentral describes it as "partial 16S ribosomal RNA". It matches the Rfam family "Bacterial small subunit ribosomal RNA", at positions 524 to 776 of the family's 1533-position model. The record is from RNAcentral.